CCUUAUCAAGAGUGACGGAGGGAACAGGCCCUAUGAUGUCCGGCAACCUGCGGUAAGCAAGGUGCUAAAUCCUGCGGUCGAAACCGGAAGAUGAGG
RNAcentral lists this non-coding RNA (96 nucleotides) under human gut metagenome. RNAcentral's name for it is "SAM riboswitch (S box leader)". It matches the Rfam family "SAM riboswitch aptamer (S box leader)". From Rfam's summary of the family: The SAM riboswitch is found upstream of a number of genes which code for proteins involved in methionine or cysteine biosynthesis in Gram-positive bacteria. The record is from RNAcentral.